UGGAAGUCGGAAUCCGCUAAGGAGUGUGUAACAACUCACCUGCCSAAGCAACUAGCCCUGAAAAUGGAUGGCGCUUCAGMGUCSACCCCAUACCCGUCCGCCUCGGCGGAGAUGYGAUCGCCUUAUGCCGAGKUGAGUAGGAGGGCGCGGGGGCGCGCGUGGAAGGUGCCGGGCGUAAGUCCGCCUGGAACCGCCCCCGGUGCAGAUCUUGCUGGUAGUAGCAAAUACUCAAGUGAGAACCUUGAGGACUGAGGUGGAGAAGGGUUCCAUGUGAACAGCAGUUGAACAUGGGUCAGUCGGUCCUAAUGGAUGUCCGAAAGGAUUUCCGAAGGGGAGANNNNNNNNNNNNNNNNCCCCCAWGACCGAAAGGGAAUCGGGUUAAUAUUCCCGAACCCGGACACGGAGAUCGGUCCCUUCGGGGAMACGUGCGGUAACGCAAACGACCUCGGAGACGUCGACGGGGGUCCCGGAAAGAGUUGUGUUUUCUUUGUAAGGGUUCGGCUCCCUGGAAUCGGCUCGCCCGGAGAUAGGGAUGCUGAACCCGUAAAGCACCGCGCCUCUUGUGGUGUCCGGAGCGCUCCCGUCGGCCCUUGAAAAUCCNNNCGAGAGUUGGUGAUUUUCGUGCCGGCCCGUACCCAUAUCCGCAGCA
This 649-nucleotide ribosomal RNA is filed under the name Neopygoplus siamensis. Its description in RNAcentral is "partial 28S ribosomal RNA". It matches the Rfam family "Eukaryotic large subunit ribosomal RNA", at positions 1255 to 1862 of the family's 3401-position model. Lineage: Eukaryota; Metazoa; Arthropoda; Arachnida; Opiliones; Assamiidae. The record is from RNAcentral.